This 253-nucleotide ribosomal RNA is filed under the name uncultured bacterium. RNAcentral describes it as "partial 16S ribosomal RNA". It matches the Rfam family "Bacterial small subunit ribosomal RNA", at positions 524 to 776 of the family's 1533-position model. The record is from RNAcentral.
UACGGAGGAUGCAAGCGUUAUCCGGAAUGAUUGGGCGUAAAGCGUCCGCAGGUGGCACCUCAAGUCUGCUGUCAAAGACCGGGGCUUAACUUCGGAAAGGCAGUGGAAACUGAACAGCUAGAGUAUGGUAGGGGCAGAGGGAAUUCCUGGUGUAGCGGUGAAAUGCGUAGAGAUCAGGAAGAACAUCGGUGGCGAAGGCGCUAUGCUGGACCAUAACUGACACUCAGGGACGAAAGCUAGGGGAGCGAAUGGG